CCCUUAGAUGUUCUGGGCCGCACGCGCGCUACACUGAUGAAUUCAACGAGCUCCUAACCUAGGCCGAAGGGUCCGGGUAAUCUUUGAAAUUUCAUCGUGAUGGGGAUAGAUUAUUGCAAUUAUUAAUCUUCAACGAGGAAUUCCUAGUAAGCGCGAGUCAUCAGCUCGCGUUGAUUACGUCCCUGCCCUUUGUACACACCGCCCGUCGCUCCUACCGAUUGAAUGGUCCGGUGAAAUGUUCGGAUCGCGGCAAAUCGGACGGGUAACCGUCAGGUUCGCUGCGAGAAGUUCAUUAAACCUUAUCAUUUAGAGGAAGGAGAAGUCGCAACA
Molecule: ribosomal RNA, 330 nt
Filed under: uncultured eukaryote
Lineage: Eukaryota
Description: partial 18S ribosomal RNA
Rfam family: Eukaryotic small subunit ribosomal RNA
Source: RNAcentral